GGAUGGGUGGCCUAGUGGUUCAGGCGCCGUUUCUACAAGGCGGAGGUCACAGUUCGAUUCUGUGCCUGUCCA
Molecule: transfer RNA, 72 nt
Filed under: Fulvia fulva CBS 131901
Lineage: Eukaryota; Fungi; Ascomycota; Dothideomycetes; Mycosphaerellales; Mycosphaerellaceae
Description: tRNA-Val (TAC) (tRNA-Val-TAC-2-1)
Rfam family: tRNA
About the family: Transfer RNA (tRNA) molecules are approximately 80 nucleotides in length.
Source: RNAcentral